CCUACGGGAGACAGCAGUGAGGAAUAUUGGUCAAUGGACGAGAGUCUGACCCAGCCAAGUAGCGUGAAGGAUGACUGCCCUCUGGGUUGUAAACUUCUUUUAUAUGGGAAUAAAAUGUUCCACGUGUGGUGUUUUGUAUGUACCAUAUUAAUAAGGAUCGGCUAACUCCGUGCCAGCAGCCGCGGUAAUACGGAGGAUCCGAGCGUUAUCCGGAUUUAUUGGGUUUAAAGGGAGCGCAGGUGGAUUGUUAAGUCAGUUGUGAAAGUUUGCGGCUCAACCGUAAAAUUGCAGUUGAAACUGGUAGUCUUGAGUACAGUAGAGGUGGGCGGAAUUCGUGGUGUAGCGGUGAAAGGCUUAGAUAUCACGAAGAACUCCGAUUGCGAAGGCAGUUGACUGGACUGCAACUGACAGUGAGGCUCGAAAGUGUGGGUAUCAAACAGGAUUAGAUACCCGAGUAGUC
RNAcentral lists this ribosomal RNA (460 nucleotides) under uncultured bacterium. RNAcentral describes it as "partial 16S ribosomal RNA". It matches the Rfam family "Bacterial small subunit ribosomal RNA", at positions 338 to 795 of the family's 1533-position model. The record is from RNAcentral.